RNAcentral lists this ribosomal RNA (587 nucleotides) under uncultured bacterium. RNAcentral's name for it is "partial 16S ribosomal RNA". It matches the Rfam family "Bacterial small subunit ribosomal RNA", at positions 355 to 1376 of the family's 1533-position model. The record is from RNAcentral.
UGGGGAAUUUUGGACAAUGGGCGAAAGCCUGAUCCAGCAAUGCCGCGUGUGUGAAGAAGGCCUUCGGGUUGUAAAGCACUUUUGUCCGGAAAGAAAUCCUUGGCUCUAAUACAGUCGGGGGAUGACGGUACCGGAAGAAUAAGCACCGGCUAACUACGUGCCAGCAGCCGCGGUAAUACGUAGGGUGCAAGCGUUAAUCGGAAUUACUGGGCGUAAAGCGUGCGCAGGCGGUUUGCUAAGACCGAUGUGAAAUCCCCGGGCUCAACCUGGGAACUGCAUUGGUGACUGGCAGGCUAGAGUAUGGCAGAGGGGGGUAGAAUUCCACGUGUAGCAGUGAAAUGCGUAGAGAUGUGGAGGAAUACCGAUGGCGAAGGCAGCCCCCUGGGCCAAUACUGACGCUCAUGCACGAAAGCGUGGGGAGCAAACGGGAUUAGAUACCCUGGUAGUCCACGCCCUAAAGCGAUGUCAACUAGUUGUUGGGGAUUCAUUUUCCUUAGUAACGUAGCUAACGCGUGAAGUUGACCGCCUGGGGAGUACGGUCGCAAGAUUAAAACUCAAUGAAUUGACGGGGUCAUAGCUGUUUCCUG